GUAACGGCGAGUGAAGCGGCAACAGCUCAAAUUUGAAAUCUGGCCCCCCGGCCCGAGUUGUAAUUUGGAGAGGAUGCUUCUGGCGCGGCGCCGUCCGAGUUCCUUGGAACAGGACGCCACAGAGGGUGAGAGCCCCGUACGGACGGACGCCUAGCCUCUACGAAGCUCCUUCGACGAGUCGAGUAGUUUGGGAAUGCUGCUCAAAAUGGGAGGUAAAUUUCUUCUAAAGCUAAAUACCGGCCAGAGACCGAUAGCGCACAAGUAGAGUGAUCGAAAGAUGAAAAGCACUUUGAAAAGAGGGUUAAAAAGUACGUGAAAUUGUUGAAAGGGAAGCGCCUGUGACCAGACUUGCGCCCCGCGGACCACCCGGCGUUCUCGCCGGUGCACUCUGCGGUGCGCAGGCCAGCAUCGGUUCUCCCAGGGGGACAAAGGCCGCGGGAACGUAGCUCCUUCGGGAGUGUUAUAGCCCGCGGCGGCAUGCCCCUGGGGGGACCGAGGACCGCGCUUCGGCAAGGAUGCUGGCGUAAUGGUCACCAGCGACCCGUCUUGAAACACGGACCAAGGAGUCAAGCAUUGGGGCGAGUGUAUGGGUGCCAAACCCGCACGCGAAAUGAAAGUAAACGCAGGUGAGAGCUUCGGCGCAUCAUCGACCGAUCCUGAUGUCUUCGGAUGGAUUUGAGUAAGAGCCUUACCGCUUGGACCCGAAAGAUGGUGAACUAUGCCUGAAUAGGGUGAAGCCAGAGGAAACUCUGGUGGAGGCUCGCAGCGGUUCUGACGUGCAAAUCGAUCGUCAAAUUUGGGCAUGGGGGCGAAAGACUAAUCGAACCAUCUAGUAGCUGGUUACCGCCGAAGUU
This 854-nucleotide ribosomal RNA is filed under the name Sporothrix schenckii var. schenckii. Its description in RNAcentral is "LSU rRNA". It matches the Rfam family "Eukaryotic large subunit ribosomal RNA", at positions 83 to 968 of the family's 3401-position model. Lineage: Eukaryota; Fungi; Ascomycota; Sordariomycetes; Ophiostomatales; Ophiostomataceae. The record is from RNAcentral.